Molecule: unclassified non-coding RNA, 160 nt
Filed under: soil metagenome
Description: partial internal transcribed spacer 1
Source: RNAcentral
CAGAGUUGCAAGACUCCCUAAACCAUUGUGAACCCUACCUUCUACCGUUGCUUCGGCGGGCGGGCCCAGCGCCCCCCCGGCCCCCCGCGGGCGCCCGCCGGAGGAUACCCAAACUCUUGACAUUAGUGGCCUCUCUGAGUAUUCUCUACUGAAUAAGUCA